UGUGCUGAUGAGAGAGUUGUAGAACCUCCUGGACCUUUCAGGAGAUGUAAAUCAGGAAUUGUUGAUCAUGAUGCAGUUUUAAAAGCAAUGUCUCGAGCACUUGAAUGCACCGAAGAGGCAUACAUGGAGAUGGUGGAAAAGAACCUUGAUAAAAAUGCAGAGCUCGCUUUGAUGGGUUCUUGUGUUCUUGUAAUGUUAAUGAAGGAUCAAGAUGUGUAUGU
RNAcentral lists this unclassified non-coding RNA (221 nucleotides) under Hevea brasiliensis (rubber tree). The record is from RNAcentral. Lineage: Eukaryota; Viridiplantae; Streptophyta; Magnoliopsida; Malpighiales; Euphorbiaceae.